Molecule: ribosomal RNA, 300 nt
Filed under: uncultured bacterium
Lineage: Bacteria
Description: bacterial SSU rRNA
Rfam family: Bacterial small subunit ribosomal RNA
Source: RNAcentral
AGUCCCGCAACGAGCGCAACCCUUAUCCUUAGUUGCUAGCAGGUUAUGCUGAGAACUCUAAGGAGACUGCCGGUGACAAACCGGAGGAAGGUGGGGACGACGUCAAGUCAUCAUGGCCCUUACGGGAUGGGCUACACACGUGCUACAAUGGCAUAUACAAAGGGUUGCGAACUUGCGAGAGUGAGCGGAUCCCAUAAAGUAUGUCGUAGUCCGGAUUGGAGUCUGCAACUCGACUCCAUGAAGUCGGAAUCGCUAGUAAUCGUAGAUCAGAAUGCUACGGUGAAUACGUUCCCGGGCCUU